This 294-nucleotide ribosomal RNA is filed under the name uncultured bacterium. RNAcentral describes it as "partial 16S ribosomal RNA". It matches the Rfam family "Bacterial small subunit ribosomal RNA", at positions 789 to 1084 of the family's 1533-position model. The record is from RNAcentral.
GGUAGUCCACGCUGUAAACGAUGAAUACUAGGUGUUGGGGGUAUCGACCCCCUCAGUGCCGAAGCUAACGCGAUAAGUACUCCGCCUGGGGACUACGGCCGCAAGGCUAAAACUCAAAGGAAUUGACGGGGCCCGCACAAGCAGCGGAGCAUGUGGCUUAAUUCGACGCAACGCGAAGAACCUUACCAAGGCUUGACAUACACCGGAAAGCAUUAGAGAUAGUGCCCCCCUUGUGGUCGGUGUACAGGUGGUGCAUGGCUGUCGUCAGCUCGUGUCGUGAGAUGUUGGGUUAAG